Molecule: ribosomal RNA, 492 nt
Filed under: uncultured bacterium
Lineage: Bacteria
Description: partial 16S ribosomal RNA
Rfam family: Bacterial small subunit ribosomal RNA
Source: RNAcentral
AGUGAACGCUGGCGGUAGGCCUAACACAUGCAAGUCGAACGGCAGCACAGUAAGAGCUUGCUCUUACGGUUGGCGAGUGGCGGACGUGUGAUGAAUACAUCGUAAUCUACUUUUUCGUGGGUGAUAACGUAGGGGAACUUACGCUAAUACCGCAUACGACCUACGGUUGAAAUCAGUGGAUCUUCGGACCUUGCGCGUUUUAAUUAGCCGAUUUCGGAUUAGCUAGUUGGCGGGGUAAAGGCCCACCAAGGCGACGAUCCGUAGCUGGUCUGAGAGGAUGAUCAGCCACACUGGAACUGAGACACGGUCCAGAGUCCUACGGGAGGCAGAAGUGGGGAAUAUUGGACAAUGGGCGAAAGCAUGAUCCAGCAAUACCGCGUGGGUGAAGAAGGCCUUCGGGUUGUAAAGCCCUUUUGUUGGGAAAGAAAAGAAGCAGAUUAAUACCAAGCUGUUCUGACGGUAACAAAAGAAUAAGCACCGGCUAACUUCGUG